UACGAAGGGGGCUAGCGUUGUUCGGAAUCACUGGGCGUAAAGGGCGCGUAGGCGGCUUUAUAAGUCGGGGGUGAAAGCCUGUGGCUCAACCACAGAAUUGCCUUCGAUACUGUAGAGCUUGAGACCGGAAGAGGUAAGUGGAACUGCGAGUGUAGAGGUGAAAUUCGUAGAUAAUCGCAAGAACACCAGUGGCGAAGGCGGCUUACUGGUCCGGUUCUGACGCUGAGGCGCGAAAGCGUGGGGAGCAAACAGG
Molecule: ribosomal RNA, 253 nt
Filed under: uncultured bacterium
Lineage: Bacteria
Description: partial 16S ribosomal RNA
Rfam family: Bacterial small subunit ribosomal RNA
Source: RNAcentral